CGUGGGUAACCUGCCUUAUAGUGGGGGAUAGCCUUUCGAAAGGAAGAUUAAUACCGCAUAAGAUUGUAGUAUCGCAUGANAUAGCAAUUAAAGGAGCAAUCCGCUAUAAGAUGGACCCGCGUCGCAUUAGCUAGUUGGUGAGGUAAUGGCUCACCAAGGCGACGAUGCGUAGCCGACCUGAGAGGGUGAUCGGCCACAUUGGGACUGAGACACGGCCCAGACUCCUACGGGAGGCAGCAUG
RNAcentral lists this ribosomal RNA (241 nucleotides) under uncultured bacterium. RNAcentral describes it as "partial 16S ribosomal RNA". It matches the Rfam family "Bacterial small subunit ribosomal RNA", at positions 116 to 353 of the family's 1533-position model. The record is from RNAcentral.